UACGAAGGGGGCAAGCGUUACUCGGAAUUAUUGGGCGUAAAGCGUGCGUAGGCGGUUUUGUACGUUGAAAGUGAAAGCCUUUGGCUCAACCAAAGAAUUGCUUACAAAACGGCAAAACUAGAGUAUUAGAGAGGAUAGAGGAAUUCCUGAUGUAGGGGUGAAAUCCGUAGAUAUCAGGAGGAAUAUCGAAGGCGAAGGCAUCUGUCUGGCUAAAUACUGACGCUGUUGCACGAAAGCGUGGGGAGCAAACAGG
This 253-nucleotide ribosomal RNA is filed under the name uncultured bacterium. RNAcentral describes it as "partial 16S ribosomal RNA". It matches the Rfam family "Bacterial small subunit ribosomal RNA", at positions 524 to 776 of the family's 1533-position model. The record is from RNAcentral.